This 163-nucleotide small nuclear RNA is filed under the name Carlito syrichta (Philippine tarsier). RNAcentral describes it as "U1 spliceosomal RNA (ENSTSYG00000029778.1)". It matches the Rfam family "U1 spliceosomal RNA". Rfam says of the family: U1 is a small nuclear RNA (snRNA) component of the spliceosome (involved in pre-mRNA splicing). Its 5' end forms complementary base pairs with the 5' splice junction, thus defining the 5' donor site of an intron. The record is from Rfam by way of RNAcentral. Lineage: Eukaryota; Metazoa; Chordata; Mammalia; Primates; Tarsiidae.
AUACUUAUCUGGCAGGGGAGAUGCCAUGAUCACAAAGAUGAUUUUCCCAGGGCGAGGCUUAUCCAUUGUACUCAGGAUGUGCUGACCCUGCAAUUUCCCCAAAUGUGGGAAACUUGACUGCAUAAUUUGUGGUAGUGGGGGGCUGCGUUCGCGCUCUAUCCUA